This 393-nucleotide ribosomal RNA is filed under the name Moissonia sp. 1 SJ-2010. RNAcentral's name for it is "eukaryotic LSU rRNA". It matches the Rfam family "Eukaryotic large subunit ribosomal RNA", at positions 763 to 1138 of the family's 3401-position model. Lineage: Eukaryota; Metazoa; Arthropoda; Insecta; Hemiptera; Miridae. The record is from RNAcentral.
GGGCGUCUCUUUCUCAUUGCGAGUGGAGGCGCACCCAGAGCGCACACGCUGAUACCCGAAAGAUGGUGAACUAUGCCUGGCCAGGACGAAGCCAGGGGAAACCCUGGUGGAGGUCCGCAGCGAUUCUGACGUGCAAAUCGAUCGUCGGAGCUGGGUAUAGGGGCGAAAGACCAAUCGAACCAUCUAGUAGCUGGUUCCCUCCGAAGUUUCCCUCAGGAUAGCUUGCGCUCACGAGAAACGAGUCUCAUCCGGUAGAGCGAAUGAUUAGAGGCCUUGGGGUCGAAACGACCUCAACCUAUUCUCAAACUCCAAAUAGAUGAGAACUCCGGCUUUCUUGAAACUUGUUUUAUUGAAGCCGGGGGCUUGGAUCAGAGUGCCAAGUGGGCCAAUUUU